CAGCCGCCGCGGUAAUACGUAGGGUGCAAGCGUUGUCCGGAAUUAUUGGGCGUAAAGAGCGUGUAGGCGGCUCGACAAGUCCGCUGUGAAAGUCCAGGGCUCAACCCUGGAAUGCCGGUGGAUACUGUCGAGCUAGAGUCCGGAAGGGGCGAGUGGAACUCCUGGUGUAGCGGUGAAAUGCGCAGAUAUCAGGAAGAACACCAAUGGCGAAGGCAGCUCGCUGGGACGUGACUGACGCUGAGACGCGAAAGCGUGGGGAGCGAACAGGAUUAGAGACCCCCGUAGUCCCUGUCUCUUAUAC
RNAcentral lists this ribosomal RNA (301 nucleotides) under uncultured bacterium. Its description in RNAcentral is "partial 16S ribosomal RNA". It matches the Rfam family "Bacterial small subunit ribosomal RNA", at positions 509 to 807 of the family's 1533-position model. The record is from RNAcentral.